Molecule: RNA transcript, 1476 nt
Organism: Homo sapiens (human)
Lineage: Eukaryota; Metazoa; Chordata; Mammalia; Primates; Hominidae
Gene: SNTB2
Gene name: syntrophin beta 2
Source: RefSeq, marked reviewed
GGAAUGAGGGUAGCUGCGGCGACUGCGGCGGCUGGAGCGGGGCCGGCCAUGGCGGUGUGGACGCGGGCCACCAAAGCGGGGCUGGUGGAGCUGCUCCUGAGGGAGCGCUGGGUCCGAGUGGUGGCCGAGCUGAGCGGGGAGAGCCUGAGCCUGACGGGCGACGCCGCCGCGGCCGAGCUGGAGCCCGCUCUGGGACCCGCGGCCGCCGCCUUCAACGGCCUCCCAAACGGCGGCGGCGCGGGCGACUCGCUGCCCGGGAGCCCAAGCCGCGGCCUGGGGCCCCCGAGCCCGCCGGCGCCGCCUCGGGGCCCCGCGGGUGAGGCGGGCGCGUCGCCGCCCGUGCGCCGGGUGCGGGUGGUGAAGCAAGAGGCGGGCGGCCUGGGCAUCAGCAUCAAGGGCGGCCGCGAGAACCGGAUGCCGAUCCUCAUCUCCAAGAUCUUCCCCGGGCUGGCUGCCGACCAGAGCCGGGCGCUGCGGCUGGGCGACGCCAUCCUGUCGGUGAACGGCACCGACCUGCGCCAGGCCACCCACGACCAGGCCGUGCAGGCGCUGAAGCGCGCGGGCAAGGAGUUUUUUUUUUUUUUUUUUUUUGAGACAGUGUCUUGCUCUGUUGCUCAGGCUGGAGUGCAGAGGCACCAUCUCGGCUCACUGCAACCUCCGCCUCCUGGGUUCAAGAAAUUCUCCUGACUGGUGUGUGCCACCGUGCCUGGCUAAUUUUUGUAUUUUUAGUAGAGACAGGGUUUCUCCAUGUUGGCCAGGCUGGUCUCAAACUCCUGACCUCAGGUGAUCCGCCUGCCUCGGCCUCCCAAAGUGCUGGGAUUACAGGUGUGAGCCACCAUGUCCAGCCCAGAUAUGCAGUAGAGUAAUAUCUCUUUCCCAGUCAAAAUGUAAUACCUAUUUCUUAGCUUCGUUUAUUUAUUUUAUUUUUGUGAAUGCACUAAGCCAAAAACCAGAAUUUUUUUUUUUCUUUUUUGAGAUAGGGUUUCACUCUGUUACCCAGGCUGGAAUGCAGUGGCAUGAUCAUAUCUUACUGCAGCCUCCAUCUCCCAGGCUCAGGUGAUCCUCCCACCUCAGCCUCCUGAGUAGCUGAGACUACAGGCAUGUGCCACCACGCCUGGCUAAUUUUUGUAUUUUUUUUUCUUUUUUUUUUUUUUGUAUUUUUAGUAGAGCCGGGCACGGUGGCUCAUGCCUGUAAUCCCAGCACUUUGGGAGGCCGAGGUGGGCGGAUCACCUGAGGUCAGGAGUUUGAGACCAGCCUGACCAACAUGGAGAAACCCUGUCUCUACUAAAAGUACAAAACUAGCCGGACAUGGUGGUGCAUGUCUGUAAUCCCAGCUACUAGGGAGGCCGAGGCAGGAGAAUCUCUGGAACCCAGGAGGCGGAGGUGGCAGUGAACCGAGAUCGUGCCACUGCACUCCAGCCUGGGCAACAAGAGCAAAACUUCGUCUCAAAAAAAAAAAAAAAGUAAAAGAUAUA